This 268-nucleotide ribosomal RNA is filed under the name uncultured Enterobacteriaceae bacterium. RNAcentral describes it as "partial 16S ribosomal RNA". It matches the Rfam family "Bacterial small subunit ribosomal RNA", at positions 355 to 616 of the family's 1533-position model. Lineage: Bacteria; Pseudomonadati; Pseudomonadota; Gammaproteobacteria; Enterobacterales; Enterobacteriaceae. The record is from RNAcentral.
UGGGGAAUAUUGCACAAUGGGCGCAAGCCUGAUGCAGCCAUGCCGCGUGUAUGAAGAAGGCCUUCGGGUUGUAAAGUACUUUCAGCGAGGAGGAAGGCAUUAAGGUUAAUAACCUUGGUGAUUGACGUUACUCGCAGAAGAAGCACCGGCUAACUCCGUGCCAGCAGCCGCGGUAAUACGGAGGGUGCAAGCGUUAAUCGGAAUUACUGGGCGUAAAGCGCACGCAGGCGGUCUGUUAAGUCAGAUGUGAAAUCCCCGGCUCAAGCCU